GAUGAACGCUGGCGGCGUGCCUAAUACAUGCAAGUCGAGCGAACGGACGAGAAGCUUGCUUCUCUGAUGUUAGCGGCGGACGGGUGAGUAACACGUGGAUAACCUACCUAUAAGACUGGGAUAACUUCGGGAAACCGGAGCUAAUACCGGAUAAUAUUUUGAACCGCAUGGUUCAAAAGUAAAAGACGGUCUUGCUGUCACUUAUAGAUGGAUCCGCGCUGCAUUAGCUAGUUGGUAAGGUAACGGCUUACCAAGGCAACGAUGCAUAGCCGACCUGAGAGGGUGAUCGGCCACACUGGAACUGAGACACGGUCCAGACUCCUACGGGAGGCAGCAGUAGGGAAUCUUCCGCAAUGGGCGAAAGCCCGACGGAGCAACGCCGCGUGAGUGAUGAAGGUCUUCGGAUCGUAAAACUCUGUUAUUAGGGAAGAACAUAUGUGUAAGUAACUGUGCACAUCUUGACGGUACCUAAUCAGAAAGCCACGGCUAACUACGUG
RNAcentral lists this ribosomal RNA (497 nucleotides) under uncultured bacterium. RNAcentral describes it as "partial 16S ribosomal RNA". It matches the Rfam family "Bacterial small subunit ribosomal RNA", at positions 28 to 507 of the family's 1533-position model. The record is from RNAcentral.